CGGAGUGUGGCGCAGCCUGGUAGCGCACUUGCAUGGGGUGCAAGGGGUCGUAGGUUCAAAUCCUAUCACUCCGACCA
RNAcentral lists this transfer RNA (77 nucleotides) under Pseudomonadota bacterium. RNAcentral describes it as "tRNA-Pro". It matches the Rfam family "tRNA". Rfam says of the family: Transfer RNA (tRNA) molecules are approximately 80 nucleotides in length. Their secondary structure includes four short double-helical elements and three loops (D, anti-codon, and T loops). Further hydrogen bonds mediate the characteristic L-shaped molecular structure. tRNAs have two regions of fundamental functional importance: the anti-codon, which is responsible for specific mRNA codon recognition, and the 3' end, to which the tRNAs corresponding amino acid is attached (by aminoacyl-tRNA synthetases). tRNAs cope with the degeneracy of the genetic code in two manners: having more than one tRNA (with a specific anti-codon) for a particular amino acid; and 'wobble' base-pairing, i.e. permitting non-standard base-pairing at the 3rd anti-codon position. RNAcentral also lists the same sequence under 1 other name. Lineage: Bacteria; Pseudomonadati; Pseudomonadota. The record is from RNAcentral.